Molecule: ribosomal RNA, 1430 nt
Filed under: uncultured bacterium
Lineage: Bacteria
Description: 16S ribosomal RNA
Rfam family: Bacterial small subunit ribosomal RNA
Source: RNAcentral
CAGGCUUAACACAUGCAAGUCGAGGGGCAGCAUGGUCUUAGCUUGCUAAGGCCGAUGGCGACCGGCGCACGGGUGAGUAACACGUAUCCAACCUGCCGUCUACUCUUGGACAGCCUUCUGAAAGGAAGAUUAAUACAAGAUGGCAUCAUGAGUCCGCAUGUUCACAUGAUUAAAGGUAUUCCGGUAGACGAUGGGGAUGCGUUCCAUUAGAUAGUAGGCGGGGUAACGGCCCACCUAGUCUUCGAUGGAUAGGGGUUCUGAGAGGAAGGUCCCCCACAUUGGAACUGAGACACGGUCCAAACUCCUACGGGAGGCAGCAGUGAGGAAUAUUGGUCAAUGGGCGAGAGCCUGAACCAGCCAAGUAGCGUGAAGGAUGACUGCCCUAUGGGUUGUAAACUUCUUUUAUAAAGGAAUAAAGUCGGGUAUGGUUACCCGUUUGCAUGUACUUUAUGAAUAAGGAUCGGCUAACUCCGUGCCAGCAGCCGCGGUAAUACGGAGGAUCCGAGCGUUAUCCUGAUUUAUUGGGUUUAAAGGGAGCGUAGAUGGAUGUUUAAGUCAGUUGUGAAAGUUUGCGGCUCAACCGUAAAAUUGCAGUUGAUACUGGAUAUCUUGAGUGCAGUUGAGGCAGGCGGAAUUCGUGGUGUAGCGGUGAAAUGCUUAGAUAUCACGAAGAACUCCGAUUGCGAAGGCAGCCUGCUAAGCUGCAACUGACAUUGAGGCUCGAAAGUGUGGGUAUCAAACAGGAUUAGAUACCCUGGUAGUCCACACGGUAAACGAUGAAUACUCGCUGUUUGCGAUAUACUGCAAGCGGCCAAGCGAAAGCGUUAAGUAUUCCACCUGGGGAGUACGCCGGCAACGGCGAAACUCAAAGGAAUUGACGGGGGCCCGCACAAGCGGAGGAACAUGUGGUUUAAUUCGAUGAUACGCGAGGAACCUUACCCGGGCUUAAAUUGCAGAUGAAUUACGGUGAAAGCCGUAAGCCGCAAGGCAUCUGUGAAGGUGCUGCAUGGUUGUCGUCAGCUCGUGCCGUGAGGUGUCGGCUUAAGUGCCAUAACGAGCGCAACCCUUGUUGUCAGUUACUAACAGGUUCCGCUGAGGACUCUGACAAGACUGCCAUCGUAAGAUGUGAGGAAGGUGGGGAUGACGUCAAAUCAGCACGGCCCUUACGUCCGGGGCUACACACGUGUUACAAUGGGGGGUACAGAGGGCCGCUACCACGCGAGUGGGUGCCAAUCCCCAAAACCUCUCUCAGUUCGGACUGGAGUCUGCAACCCGACUCCACGAAGCUGGACUCGCUAGUAAUCGCGCAUCAGCCACGGCGCGGUGAAUACGUUCCCGGGCCUUGUACACACCGCCCGUCAAGCCAUGGGAGCCGGGGGUACCUGAAGUGCGUAACCGCGAGGAGCGCCCUAGGGUAAAACUGGUGACUG